Long non-coding RNA from Patiria miniata (bat star), 1879 nucleotides. RefSeq lists it as uncharacterized. Lineage: Eukaryota; Metazoa; Echinodermata; Asteroidea; Valvatida; Asterinidae. The record is from RefSeq and is a predicted model, not a curated record. The transcript is spliced from 4 exons.
AUCAUUUCUGAUAUCUUACCAGCGGUAGGUGCUUGGGGUACGCGCAACCUGAAGCAGAGCAACAGUUCAAAUGGAUCACAAAAUAACUUUGUUAGCUUGUUUCGUCGUCAUGGCAAUUCUCUUAGCGCCCUCUACAGCCAAGGAGAAUUCAGCAGACGCAUUGAAAGAAUACCUUAACAUUUCAAUGGGUAGGAGUGUAGACAAACGUGGAACCGGGAACCAGCGGUUUAAAGCCUGUAGGCAUCCUCUGUACGGCAGAGCAUUCAACUGCCGAUGUGACGUCACGAAAAGUGCUCGCGAUCCACGGUACAUGCGGUGUGUCAUGCCCGAUUCCGAAGUCUAAAAAGGAUAAUGCGAGUGGCACCUGAAAGUUUCUACGCUACCGUUUUCUCAGCUUCAAUAAAAUGAUGUCGCGCUGAUUUUUAAAUCAGAUUUUCUAAAUAAAAGCCCUUUGAAAUCAACUUUAUAAAGGCUUUUGCUUGGAUAUUUCCACACGCAGCUCCUUAUACUUCCGUCCAUUACAAUAACUCAUGGACGGAUCUCUGGUUAUAAUGUAGUCUGCCUAACGUGGUGCACUUCGACGUUGUUUUUUUAUGCAGUGUUGUCAACCUCUUUGUUGACAAACUUUGUAUUCAUUCAGUAAUAAAUACUGGUAUUUUUACCAUAAAAAAUGCUUGCUUUUUAACCUUUGUGAACAAUUUUAGCGUCAUGAAAUUUAGUCUGGAAUUCAAACAUUUUGGCGUCUGAAAAUGGAGCUCAUAAUUGGCCAAGAGUUUCAUAACGUGGCGCACUUGAACAAAUCUCAAAAUACGUUCCAACUUAACAUUUAAGAAUUUCCUUUAAGUUGACAUAUUCUGAUGAACCAUUAUUAUUUUCACUCUUAUACUCUACUACAAGUUUGUCGGACAUUUUUUUCUUAUUUUUGGGCGCAUUUUUCAAGGGUUCAUUGGGCACUUCAAACUAAAACCGGAAAAUCACGCCAAAAUUAAUUUCUGUGUUAACUUUAAACGGGUGGGUAAACUCAAGAUUUAUGAACGGGAAUGCUUGGAGCUUGAUGAGAUUUUUACUUACUGUGAAAUUUGAGGUAAAACAUUUGCUCUAGCUUGGCACUAAAGGACGAGAAAUCAAAGUGCGCCACGUUAAGGGGCCGCGCCACGUUAAGGGGCAUCAACAGUUUUAUAAAGAGAAAUCCGUCCUUGUUUUUUCCUUGUUUUGAGAAAUUGCAAUUGUUUCAGCAAAUGAGGGCGCUGGGGACGCAUUUGCCUGGGUACAAUGAAUACAUAAUAAUGUGUAUUAAACCCUUUUUCGUUUUACUGAAAUCUAAAUGUUAAACAAUGUAAAAUCAUAUUGUAAAACGUUAUUCCAACAUGGAAACCUACAUCAAUAACCUGGGUUUCAUGUCUGAUUGUACCCGCCGGUCAAAAUGACGUCUUUGUUGUGCCCCCUAAGUUCGCUAAAAUUAUGACUUUGUUAUUUUGUGACUUGAGAACUUGCCAAGUACACCGCCCUUUGUUUUAAAUAACUGCCUUAAUAAUUCGGUCUUAUUGUUUAGAUUUUAAUGAUUAUAGAGAUGAAUAUUUUGAUAAUCGAGAUGAUUUUUGAUGGGGGUUUUACUAAGGUGAAUAAAAUGGAAUUAGCAUUAUGGUCUAUUCAUCAUAUUUCAAAGUUGUAAUUCUUAGGUAAUGCCUAAGCUAAAUGAAGCAUGAUGCAGCAAAUAUGGUUAACAUUACUGAAAAUGUGCAGGGGGUGUUUUUGUUAGGCUCAUUUAUUUAAAAAUGGGAAGUGCUUCAGGGGCGGAUCAAGGUUUUUUGCAGGGGGAGUUUUCAUCAGUAAAUCAAUGCUGAAAUGUAGACAGGUGUUUUGUCCAGACACUUGGCUC